AGCAGCCACCUUUUAAAACGCGUCAAAGCGUAACCUAAACCCCCCCAAAAUACCAUUAAUUUUCAUGAACCCCUAAUUUAUAAUGAAUGACUCCAUAUUUAUAUGGAAGACACCAUGCUAGGAUUAGUAACAAGAAUUUAUAAUUCUCCAAAAUGCAAAUAUAAACCAACAUGGAUAGACCAUUGGUAGUUACCGAACCUAAAUUUACUGCAAUAACACCCACAAGAAAACUCUGCAGUACUUACUCGUUAACCUAACACCAGCGCAUUACAGGAAAGAUUUAAAAAAAGAGAAGGAAUUCGGCAAAUGACGGCCCCGCCUGUUUACCAAAAACAUCGCCUCUUGACUUAUAAUAAGAGGUCCAGCCUGCCCAGUGAAUUUUAAACGGCCGCGGUAUCCUAACCGCGCGAAGGUAGCAUAAUCACUUGUUCUUUAAAUGGGGACUCGUAUCAACGGCAUCACGAGGGUUUUACUGUCUCCUCUUUUUGAUCAGUGAAAUUGAUCUUCCCGUGAAGAAGCGGGAAUAUUUUUAUAAGACGAGAAGACCCCAUGGAGCUUUAAACCAAAUAACAACUUAACUACUUAUCCCACAAUAAAUUUAAGCCCUGUUAUAAGGUUUUUGGUUGGGGUGACCGCGGAGUAAAGCACAUCCUCCACGACGGAAAGAACAUAAUCUUUAUUUAAGAACCACACUUCUAGAAAUUAGUAUACUAACGUUUACUGACCCGACAAUCGAUCAACGGACCAAGUUACCCUGGGGAUAACAGCGCAAUCUACUUCAAGAGCUCAUAUCGACAAGUAGGCUUACGACCUCGAUGUUGGAUCAGGGUAUCCCGGUGGUGCAGCCGCUACCGAAGGUUCGUUUGUUCAACGAUUAAAACCCUACGUGAUCU
Molecule: ribosomal RNA, 893 nt
Filed under: Polypedates leucomystax (Java whipping frog)
Lineage: Eukaryota; Metazoa; Chordata; Amphibia; Anura; Rhacophoridae
Description: partial 16S ribosomal RNA
Rfam family: Bacterial large subunit ribosomal RNA
Source: RNAcentral